AAAAGAAUAAAUAAUGACAAGUUGGGAGGGUUGCAUUUUAGCUAUGAAGGAGAGAGUAAAUUUCUCUAGCGGAAAAAAUAAAGGAAGAUGAGGCAAGCUUAGGGUUUUAGGAAGAUGAGGCAAGCUUGAAUAUGAUUGUAAAAUCGUUACAAAAAGAAGAAAAGAUAGUAGUGGAACUAACUCUAGAAAUUUCGACUAAUAGGUUAAAUUUAUUACGGUGCUUAUUUUGGAUUCUAAUUGAGUAUGGAUUUUUGUUUGCUUUGCUUUUAAAAUUUCAGCUUGAUUUUUAAAGUUUGUGUUGAAAAUGAGAAGAUUGUAGGAUUCUAUUUAUUGUAAGGGUUUGAAAGUGUGGAGAUUGCAGAUCCAAAUCAUAGAUAUACUGAAUACUAUUCAAAUAAAAGUGUGAAAUAUGAGAGGAACAGAAGAGUGUGGAUUUUCUGGCAUGCAUUACACAUGUACUGAAAUGGAUAGUGGAAUAGUCUCUCUACCUUGCAUUGAGGCACAGUGAUUUUCCAAUGAGUUUUGAGUGCUCACCUUUGUUUAAUUUGUAGCAAUUGUGGUCCAACUGCAUUAGUGUAUUACAUGUAUGUGUUUGUUGUCUUUUACAUUAUAUUCAUUCUUAGUUGUGGAAUUAAGAAUUGGAUAGCCAUAGCGGAAUUGUUAAAGGAAAGUUAAUGAUCCUUUUACUUUUCUUCCUACUUAUAAGUCAGCCAAGUUUUUUGAAGCAUGCUUGUGCAGCAGCCCAUAUAUCUGUAUUUAACCCACUAUUUACUUUGAUCCUUUUCUUCAAUAUGAUAUUCUGGGCUCACGUUGCUCAUUUUGACUUACACCGCACUGAUUAUAGAAACAUUGACAACUUAGCUUUCUUAGGCCUAAUAUUAAGUAAAAUAUUAGUUUGGAGUUCAAGUCUUGACAUCAUUAUUGUGAGAAUAUUCUAAUAGUACUAUUGUUAUUAUUAGUAGUAGCGUUGUUAUUAUUUUCAAUUUUCAUAUUUACAGUGUUGGCUUCACUUGUGAAUAUUCAUCUUACCUAUUUGUAAAGGCAGUGAAGGGUUUCACCUCGAAUUCAAUAUAGGGGAGAGAGUGUGUGUGUAGUUUAAAUUAUUGCUUAAAUGGAAUAAAUUAUGGAGAGCAAAAGGGAUUGAAUAAUUAAUUCAUUUUUUAAGUUGUGUAUAUAUGAAUAAUGAUAGGAGGAUAAAUGAAAAUUAUAGAUUUAGGUAAUGUAGUAACCAGCUUGAAUGGUAUGCUUA
This 1249-nucleotide unclassified non-coding RNA is filed under the name Hevea brasiliensis (rubber tree). The record is from RNAcentral. Lineage: Eukaryota; Viridiplantae; Streptophyta; Magnoliopsida; Malpighiales; Euphorbiaceae.